ACGCUGGCGGCAGGCUUAACACAUGCAAGUCGAACGGUAACAGGGAUUAGCUUGCUAAUCUGCUGACGAGUGGCGGACGGGUGAGUAAUGCUUGGGAAUCUGGCUUAUGGAGGGGGAUAACUACGGGAAACUGUAGCUAAUACCGCGUAAAAUCUUCGGAUUAAAGGGUGGGACUUUCGAGCCACCUGCCAUAAGAUGAGCCCAAGUGGGAUUAGGUAGUUGGUUAGGUAAAGGCUGACCAAGUCGACGAUCUCUAGCUGGUCUGAGAGGAUGACCAGCCACACUGGAACUGAGACACGGUCCAGACUCCUACGGGAGGCAGCAGUGGGGAAUAUUGCACAAUGGGGGGAACCCUGAUGCAGCCAUGCCGCGUGAAUGAAGAAGGCCUUCGGGUUGUAAAGUUCUUUCGGUGACGAGGAAGGUUGGUAGGUUAAUAGCCUAUCAAAUUGACGUUAAUCACAGAAGAAGCACCGGCUAACUCCGUGCCAGCAGCCGCGGUAAUACGGGGGGUGCGAGCGUUAAUCGGAAUAACUGGGCGUAAGGGGCACGCAGGCGGUGACUUAAGUGAGAUGUGAAAGCCCCGAGCUUAACUUGGGAAUUGCAUUUCAUACUGGGUCGCUAGAGUACUUUAGGGAGGGGUAGAAUUCCACGUGUAGCGGUGAAAUGCGUAGAGAUGUGGAGGAAUACCGAAGGCGAAGGCAGCCCCUUGGGAAUGUACUGACGCUCAUGUGCGAAAGCGUGGGGAGCAAACAGGAUUAGAUACCCUGGUAGUCCACGCUGUAAACGAUGUCGAUUUGGGGAUUGGGCUUUGAGCUUGGUGCCCGUAGCUAACGUGAUAAAUCGACCGCCUGGGGAGUACGGCCGCAAGGUUAAAACUCAAAUGAAUUGACGGGGGCCCGCACAAGCGG
RNAcentral lists this ribosomal RNA (908 nucleotides) under uncultured bacterium. RNAcentral's name for it is "bacterial SSU rRNA". It matches the Rfam family "Bacterial small subunit ribosomal RNA", at positions 33 to 932 of the family's 1533-position model. The record is from RNAcentral.